GAAUUUUGGACAAUGGGCGAAAGCCUGAUCCAGCAAUGCCGCGUGCAGGAUGAAGGCCUUCGGGUUGUAAACUGCUUUUGUACGGAACGAAAAGCUUUGGGUUAAUACCCUGGAGUCAUGACGGUACCGUAAGAAUAAGCACCGGCUACCUACGUGCCCGCAGCCGCGGUAAUACGUAGGGGGCAAGCGUUAAUCGGAAUUACUGGGCGUAAAGCGUGCGCAGGCGGUUUUGUAAGACAGAGGUGAAAUCCCCGGGCUCAACCUGGGAACUGCCUUUGUGACUGCAAGGCUAGAGUACGGCAGAGGGGGGUAGAAUUCCGCGUGUAGCAGUGAAAUGCGUAGAGAUGCGGAGGAAUACCGAUGGCGAAGGCAGCCCCCUGGGAUAAUACUGACGCUCAUGCACGAAAGCGUGGGGAGCAAACAG
RNAcentral lists this ribosomal RNA (424 nucleotides) under uncultured bacterium. RNAcentral's name for it is "bacterial SSU rRNA". It matches the Rfam family "Bacterial small subunit ribosomal RNA", at positions 359 to 775 of the family's 1533-position model. The record is from RNAcentral.